Molecule: ribosomal RNA, 480 nt
Filed under: uncultured bacterium
Lineage: Bacteria
Description: bacterial SSU rRNA
Rfam family: Bacterial small subunit ribosomal RNA
Source: RNAcentral
UUGAACGCUGGCGGCAUGCCUUACACAUGCAAGUCGAACGGUAACAGGUCUUCGGAUGCUGACGAGUGGCGAACGGGUGAGUAAUACAUCGGAACGUGCCCGAUCGUGGGGGAUAACGGAGCGAAAGCUUUGCUAAUACCGCAUACGAUCUACGGAUGAAAGCAGGGGACCGCAAGGCCUUGCGCGGACGGAGCGGCCGAUGGCAGAUUAGGUAGUUGGUGGGAUAAAAGCUUACCAAGCCGACGAUCUGUAGCUGGUCUGAGAGGACGACCAGCCACACUGGGACUGAGACACGGCCCAGACUCCUACGGGAGGCAGCAGUGGGGAAUUUUGGACAAUGGGGGCAACCCUGAUCCAGCCAUGCCGCGUGAGUGAAGAAGGCCUUCGGGUUGUAAAGCUCUUUCAGACGGAAAGAAAACGCAUCGGUGAAUACCCGGUGUGGAUGACGGUACCGUAAGAAGAAGCACCGGCUAACUACGU